AGCUAACGCUGGCGGCAGGCCUAACACAUGCAAGUCGAACGAACCUUUCGGGGUUAGUGGCGGACGGGUGAGUAACACGUGGGAACGUGCCUUUAGGUUCGGAAUAACUCAGGGAAACUUGUGCUAAUACCGAAUGUGCCCUUCGGGGGAAAGAUUAAUCGCCUUUAGAGCGGCCCGCGUCUGAUUAGCUAGUUGGUUGAGGUAAUGGCUCACCAAGGCGACGAUCAGUAGCUGGUCUGAGAGGAUGAUCAGCCACAUUGGGACUGAGACACGGCCCAAACUCCUACGGGAGGCAGCAGUGGGGAAUCUUGCGCAAUGGGCGAAAGCCUGACGCAGCCAUGCCGCGUGAAUGAUGAAGGUCUUAGGAUUGUAAAAUUCUUUCACCGGGGACGAUAAUGACGGUACCCGGAGAAGAAGCCCCGGCUAACUUCGUG
RNAcentral lists this ribosomal RNA (434 nucleotides) under uncultured bacterium. RNAcentral's name for it is "partial 16S ribosomal RNA". It matches the Rfam family "Bacterial small subunit ribosomal RNA", at positions 29 to 507 of the family's 1533-position model. The record is from RNAcentral.